This 462-nucleotide ribosomal RNA is filed under the name uncultured bacterium. Its description in RNAcentral is "partial 16S ribosomal RNA". It matches the Rfam family "Bacterial small subunit ribosomal RNA", at positions 29 to 507 of the family's 1533-position model. The record is from RNAcentral.
AGUGAACGCUGGCGGCGUGCCUAAUACAUGCAAGUCGAACGAACGAAUAAGAGCUUGCUCUUAUAAGUUAGUGGCGCACGGGUGAGUAAUAUAUAGCUAAUCUGCCUCUUAGUAGAGGAUAACAGUCGGAAACGAUUGCUAAUACUCUAUACUUCUGCUUUACAUACGUAAAGUAGAGAAAGUUUUUCGCUAAGAGAUGAGGCUAUACUGUAUCAGCUAGUUGGUAAGGUAACGGCUUACCAAGGCUAUGACGCAUAACUGGUCUGAGAGGAUGAUCAGUCACAUUGGAAAUGAGACACGGUCCAAACUCCUACGGGAGGCAGCAGUAGGGAAUAUUGCGCAAUGGGGGAAACCCUGACGCAGCAACGCCGCGUGGAGGAUGACACCUUUCGGAGCGUAAACUCCUUUUAUCGGGAAAGAAUAAUGACGGUACCCGAUGAAUAAGCACCGGCUAACUCCGUG